UUGGAGGGCAAGUCUGGUGCCAGCAGCCGCGGUAAUUCCAGCUCCAAUAGCGUAUAUUAAAGUUGUUGCAGUUAAAAAGCUCGUAGUUGAAUUUCGAGACCGGCUUACUGGUCGUGCUAUUGUACGUACUGGUAUAAUCGGUUUCUCCUUUCUGACGAACUAUAAUGCCAUUAAUUUGGUGUUAUAGGGAAUCAGGACUGUUACUUUGAAAAAAUUAGAGUGUUUAAAGCAGGCUCACGCUUGAAUACAUUAGCAUGGAAUAACGGAAUAGGACGUUUGAUUCUAUUUUGUUGGUUUCUAGGAUCGACGUAAUGAUUAAUAGGGAUAGUUGGGGGCAUUAGUAUUCAAUUGUCAGAGGUGAAAUUCUUGGAUUUAUUGAAGACUAACUACUGCGAAAGCAUUUGCCAAGGAUGUUUUCAUUAAUCAAGAACGAAAGUUAGGGGAUCGAAGACGAUCAGAUACCGUCGUAGUCUUAACCAUAAACUAUGCCGACUAGGGAUCGGAUGAUGUUAAUUUUUUAAUGACUCAUUCGGCGCCUUACGGGAAAC
RNAcentral lists this ribosomal RNA (548 nucleotides) under uncultured Glomus. Its description in RNAcentral is "SSU rRNA". It matches the Rfam family "Eukaryotic small subunit ribosomal RNA", at positions 548 to 1098 of the family's 1831-position model. RNAcentral also lists the same sequence under 1 other name. Lineage: Eukaryota; Fungi; Glomeromycota; Glomeromycetes; Glomerales; Glomeraceae. The record is from RNAcentral.